UCGCCUCCUGAUUAAUAUAGGAGGUCCAGCCUGCCCAGUGACUCUGUUUAACGGCCGCGGUAUUCUAACCGUGCGAAGGUAGCGUAAUCACUUGUUCUUUAAAUGAGGACUAGUAUGAAUGGCAUCACGAGGGUUAUACUGUCUCCUUUUCCAAAUCAGUGAAACUAAUCUCCCCGUGAAGAAGCGGGGAUAAAAAUAUAAGACGAGAAGACCCUAUGGAGCUUAAAACUUUCAACAAUUAUAUUUUAUUCAUAAACCUAAAGGUAACCAAACUGAUCCUUAUAAUAUGUUUGUUAGUUUUCGGUUGGGGUGACCGCGGAGUAAAACCUAUCCUCCAUAUUGAAUUAAAUUACUCUUAUUAGCAAAAAACUACAAUUUUAUGCAUCAAAAAAUUGACAUUAUUGACCCAAUAUUUUGAUCAACGAACCAA
Molecule: ribosomal RNA, 430 nt
Filed under: Callimedusa tomopterna group sp. ABGD cluster 29
Lineage: Eukaryota; Metazoa; Chordata; Amphibia; Anura; Hylidae
Description: partial large subunit ribosomal RNA
Rfam family: Bacterial large subunit ribosomal RNA
Source: RNAcentral